AGGAUGAACGCUGGCGGCGUGCUUAACACAUGCAAGUCGAGCGAAGCGCUUUGGAAAGAUUCUUCGGAUGAUUUCCUUUGUGACUGAGCGGCGGACGGGUGAGUAACGCGUGGGUAACCUGCCUCAUACAGGGGGAUAACAGUUAGAAAUGACUGCUAAUACCGCAUAAGACCACGGUACCGCAUGGUACAGUGGUAAAAACUCCGGUGGUAUGAGAUGGACCCGCGUCUGAUUAGGUAGUUGGUGGGGUAACGGCCUACCAAGCCGACGAUCAGUAGCCGACCUGAGAGGGUGACCGGCCACAUUGGGACUGAGACACGGCCCAGACUCCUACGGGAGGCAGCAGUGGGGAAUAUUGCACAAUGGAGGAAACUCUGAUGCAGCGACGCCGCGUGAAGGAUGAAGUAUUUCGGUAUGUAAACUUCUAUCAGCAGGGAAGAAAAUGACGGUACCUGACUAAGAAGCCCCGGCUAACUACGUGCCAGCAGCCGCGGUAAUACGUAGGGGGCAAGCGUUAUCCG
RNAcentral lists this ribosomal RNA (521 nucleotides) under Dorea longicatena DSM 13814. Its description in RNAcentral is "SSU rRNA". It matches the Rfam family "Bacterial small subunit ribosomal RNA", at positions 26 to 547 of the family's 1533-position model. The record is from RNAcentral. Lineage: Bacteria; Bacillati; Bacillota; Clostridia; Lachnospirales; Lachnospiraceae.